UCAACAUGAGAGUUUGAUUCUGGCUCAGAACGAACGCUGGCGGCAGGCUUAACACAUGCAAGUCGAACGAGAAGCUUACUUCGGUAAGUGGAAAGUGGCAGACGGGUGAGUAACGCGUGGCAACCUACCUUUUUCUACGGAACAACAGUUGGAAACGACUGCUAAUACCGUAUACGCCCUCCGGGGGAAAGAUUUAUCGGUGAAAGAUGGGGCCGCGUUAGAUUAGCUAGUUGGUGAGGUAAUGGCUCACCAAGGCGACGAUCUAUAGCUGGUCUGAGAGGAUGAUCAGCCACACUGGGACUGAGACACGGCCCAGACAACUACGGUUGGCAGCAGUGGGGAAUAUUGGACAAUGGGGGCAACCCUGAUCCAGCCAUGCCGCGUGAAUGAUGAAGGCCUUAGGGUUGUAAAACUCUUUCGCCAGGGAUGAUAAUGACAGUAGCAUCAGAAGAAGCCCCGGCUAAAUUCGUGCCAGCAGCCGCGGUAAUACGGAGGGGGCUAGCGUUGUUCGGAAUUACUGGGCGUAAAGCGUGCGUAGGCGGAUUAUUAAGUUAGGGGUGAAAUCCCGGGGCUCAACCUCGGAACUGCCUCUAAAACUGGUAAUCUAGAGAUAUGGAGAGGUAAG
Molecule: ribosomal RNA, 625 nt
Filed under: Hellea sp.
Lineage: Bacteria; Pseudomonadati; Pseudomonadota; Alphaproteobacteria; Maricaulales; Robiginitomaculaceae
Description: bacterial SSU rRNA
Rfam family: Bacterial small subunit ribosomal RNA
Source: RNAcentral